RNAcentral lists this ribosomal RNA (464 nucleotides) under uncultured bacterium. RNAcentral's name for it is "partial 16S ribosomal RNA". It matches the Rfam family "Bacterial small subunit ribosomal RNA", at positions 28 to 506 of the family's 1533-position model. The record is from RNAcentral.
GACGAACGCUGGCGGCGUGCUUAACACAUGCAAGUCGAACGGAAAGGCCCUGCUUGCAGGGUACUCGAGUGGCGAACGGGUGAGUAACACGUGGGUGAUCUGCCCUGCACUUCGGGAUAAGCCUGGGAAACUGGGUCUAAUACCGGAUAGGAGCCAUUUUUAGUGUGAUGGUUGGAAAGUUUUUUCGGUGUAAGAUGAGCUCGCGGCCUAUCAGCUUGUUGGUGGGGUAAUGGCCUACCAAGGCGGCGACGGGUAGCCGGCCUGAGAGGGUGGACGGCCACAUUGGGCCUGAGAUACGGCCCAGACCCCUACGGGGGGCAGCGGGGGGGAAUAUUGCACAAUGGGGGAAAGCCUGAUGCAGCGACGCCGGGUGGGGGAUGACGGCCUUCGGGUUGUAAACUCCUUUCGCUGGGGACGAAGCUUUUUUGGACGGAACCUAAAAAAAAAGCCCCGGCUAACUACGG